Molecule: long non-coding RNA, 3663 nt
Filed under: Mus musculus (house mouse)
Lineage: Eukaryota; Metazoa; Chordata; Mammalia; Rodentia; Muridae
Description: long non-coding RNA chr6:63763855-63767518
Source: RNAcentral
AUAGUAAACCUAGACCUAGCACUUGUGUGCUAGUUCAUAGAGUAAAUAAAUAAUAAGAUAACUUAAAAAUAGAAGUUUUGAUUUAGCCAAAAAUAAAAGUAUCAACCAGGCACAUCAUGUAGAAAAACAUGCAUAUUCUUUCCUCUAUAACCGCCACACACUCAAACACACACAUAGAUACACACACACACACACACACACACACACACACAUGCAUACACACACACAAACCUGUAGGGUAUCUGGAUUAUGAGGCAUAUAUGAAAACUCUCUAUCUGUUUGCAGCUUCUUUCUUAUUUAAUACAAGAAGAAAGUGUGUUCAUGCUCAGAAGAACUGAAGAUUCUGGCAGACAAAGUUAAAAACAAAAACAAAAACAAAAACAAAAAUAAUAUCUGAGUAGUAUCCAGACAUUGAGGGAUCCAGUAAGGAAAGAGACUUACUUUUGCAAUAAUAUAAGUUAAUAUAGAAUCCUGUUUAUGAUGUAUUUAGUAUCUGCUGAAUGAACCAUUAGCUCUUGUUAAAGUUCUCACAAUAAACAAGUUCUGCCCUGGGCAUUUCCUGGAAAGAGUGUGCUACUACUAAGAGAAGAAAGCACAGAGGAGAGAUAAAGUCAAAUAUUUCCACAAAUGUAAAAAACAUUAACUAACAUAUAGCUUGGUUAGCAUAGAGCCCGAAGAGACUCACUUAGUGUUCUUUCCACUAAUAUUCUAAUGGGGCCUGGGGCUUUGUGGAUUUGAAGCAAUUAUAUAAUCCCUCCUUUUAUCAGAAUUUUAGCUAUGAUUUACCAUUUUAAAAAUGAACUAAUGUGGUCCAAAAUUGAUUUACCUUUGAUUUAUGUACAAUAAGGUUUUAUGGAACUUUGAAAAACACACUAAAGGCACGUUAGUAUGUAAAUUCUAUGAUGAUUAAAAGGUGCCAUGCCAAUGCAUGUAUAACUAGGCAUUGCAGCUUAUGUAAUUCUAUAAAUACUAAGAUGAAAUGCUAAACAAAAUCAAUCAUGAAAAUGCAAGAUAAGUGUUUUGGUUUCUCAGGUCCAAAGAGCUCCUGGGCAAUGUGUAUUCAAAGGCUAAGGGGUAAUCUCCAAGAACAGAAGCAAAUAUGAAAUAUUUGAGAAUUAAUAACAGAGUAGACAUAGAAGAGACUCACCGCUGUAAAUGAGACAUGAUGGAAUUUGUACAAAGGGAUUUUCACUGCUAAUGGCAUUAUCAUUUCACUGCAUUUGCCUUUAUCUGAAAGUAAAGAAGAUAUUCCAGAAGUUUGUGGUUGUGCUUUCUUUUGUUUUGUUUUUCUGCAAGUAUCUGAUGGUCUGAGAUACCCCAUUUUAUCUCAUUCACAAUGGCUAUUGUCAAGAAAACAAAUGACAGAAGAUGCUGGUGAGGAUAUGAGGGGAAAGGACAUGUACACAAUGCUGAUGGGAAUGCAAAUUAGUGCCACACUAUGCAAAUCCCUAUGGUGAUUCUGACAAAAGCUAAAAAUAAGUCCACUAUAUGAUCAAACUACACUAUUUCUGGGAAUCAAAACCCUUUUCUAAAAAGAUUAAAAACAUCUUCAUUAUGUAGUCUUUCAAACCAAAUUUUGAGGUCAAAAACACUAAGGAUUCAGUCUCUGGUAUCAUCUGAAAAAUGUGAAUCCUAAUAUAUAUAUACUUCAGACUAUUAUUCCUGAGAUUAAAUGACAGAACUUCCAGUUUUUCUGUGCUUGUAAAAGUUUCUUCAUAUGCAGUAUUUACCUCCCCAACACACCUUCUCUGUACUUGUCUACCUCUGUGAGUUAAUCUCAAAACUCGUACAAUCCAACAGGAUGGUUUACGUCUAUAUUUCACAUUCCCUAGUUUCAGUCACAAAUGGUUCAUUAUCUAUAACAAGAAAUAAAUAGUUUAAGAAAUAAAUAUUUCUAAAUUAAGCCUGGGUGAUAGAUUCUUUCCUUGGCAAAUACCUUUUUGUACAAGUAAUGGGAUCAAAGUUUGUAUCACCAGAACCUGUGUCACAAUUUUUUGUCUGCAUUCUCAUUAUAGGAAAUCACUGUGGAUUGCGAACAACUAAUCUAGCCAUGUGGUGAGCUGCAGGUUUAGUGGGAAGCAGUGUGUGUGUGUGUGUGUGUGUGUGUGUGUGUGGUGUGUCUGUGUGUGUGUGUGUGUGUGUCUGUGUGUCUGUGUUUGUGUCUGUGUGUGUCUGUGUGUGUGUCUGUGAGUCUGUGUGUCUGUGUGUCUGUGUGUGUGUCUGUGUGUCUGUGUGUCUGUGUACUUGUCUGUUUGUGUGUGUCUGUGUGUGUCUGUGUGUGUGUACUGAAGAAGUGGCACCCAACAGCAACCCACCAACAAACACUAACCCACCUGCCUCUUGGAUCCUAGCAUUUAUAUAGCCCCUGAAAAGUUCCUAGAAUUCUGAACAUAGCACAAUCACAGCAACUACAUGGUGCUGGCAAAAUCAUGCCCUUGUCCAAGAGAAAUCAUGCUGUGGACAAUCUGAAACAGCCCCAUAUUCAACACCUGGGGUUAAAGUGAAAACAGUUUUAUAAUAUUUCUGUGCUUUUUAAAGAACCCAAAACUUCAAAAUUGUCACUAAAGAAGGAAAUAGCAGUGCAGUAGCUGUACUGUGCACUGAGGGUGAUGAUGCACAAACAGUAAAAUAAGCUAUACUGAGAAAGACCCCACUCUACCUUUCUCACAAUGUGGUUGUAGGCUGUUGUUAUUAUUGUGACUGUCUACUGAAUCUAAUGUGACAUUAGUGCAUAGAUUAGUAUAUAUAAGAAAAACCUAUUUAAGGAUCAGUUAUAUCUGCCUCCAGGUAUUGUGUCGAGUCAGGGAACAUGUUUCUACUCAUCAGGUGGAACAGAUCUCCUUAGCCGAAAUCCAAUUGGAAGCCUUUGAUGUGGUAUAGAAGGAGCUGGUUUUUCUGGUAAAUGCAUUUCUAUAAUGUUUGUUUACUAAAUAAAGAAAUUUAAAUAAUCCCAAAUCCAUUUUAAGAUCAAUACCCAUCUGUCUCUUAAAUUCAUCUUAUUUUGCUUCAGAAACUUUUCAUAGGAAUCACGAAUGAAAGCACAGUAUAGUCUUUUAUUUUUAGAAUAAUUAUUAUAAUCAUAAACUUUUACUGCCAAUCAAAUUCAAGCUAGAAUAUUAGUUCUUCCCUAAUUUGCAAAAAAAAAAAAAUCACAUGUGUAUACCUAUGCAAGAACACUUUGUCUUUUAGCGAAUCUGGGUGUCAUUACUGGUAGGAAAAGAAAAAAAAUUAAAUGAAGCCUUUGUAGUCCUGUUGCUCUGUCAGUGUUUGUAAACACACACCAUCAUCUUAAACUGUGGGAAACAAAACACGCAAAAAAAUGAUGAAUCUCUUAUGAUCACAUACACGUGGAUUAUAAUAACUCUGCGCAUGACACACAUAGUCUAUGAGGGAUUAGGAUGUGAAACAAUGUCUGUACAAAGUAAUGUACUGUUUAGCUUAGGAAGAGACUUACCAAUGCAGCUAUGAGCAGAAUACCUCUUCAGUUUCUUAUAUACUUCAUCAAAAAAUCUUAUAAAUUUAAAGGAUAAAAUAUCUAGUUUACUUAUAUAAAUACAAGACAAGAUCUGGGCAACACUUGUGUCCUCCAUCGUGCAUUCCAGUUAUUAACCAUUAAUCAAAUUUAUUGUAAAGGUACUAAGUGUUUCCUUAUACUGACUAUGU